Molecule: ribosomal RNA, 253 nt
Filed under: uncultured bacterium
Lineage: Bacteria
Description: partial 16S ribosomal RNA
Rfam family: Bacterial small subunit ribosomal RNA
Source: RNAcentral
UACAGAGGGUGCUAGCGUUGUUCGGAAUCAUUGGGCGUAAAGCGCGUGUAGGCGGCGUGACAAGUCGGGUGUGAAAGCCCUCAGCUCAACUGAGGAAGUGCGCCCGAAACUGUCGUGCUUGAGUGCCGGAGAGGGUGGCGGAAUUCCCCAAGUAGAGGUGAAAUUCGUAGAUAUGGGGAGGAACACCGGUGGCGAAGGCGGCCACCUGGACGGUAACUGACGCUGAGACGCGAAAGCGUGGGGAGCAAACAGG